CACAUGCAGUCGAGCGGGGAGGGUAGCUUGCUACCUGACCUAGCGGCGGACGGGUGAGUAAUGCUUAGGAAUCUGCCUAUUAGUGGGGGACAACAUUCCGAAAGAAUGGCUAAUACCGCAUACGCCCUACGGGGGAAAGCAGGGGAUCUUCGGACCUUGCGCUAAUAGAUGAGCCUAAGUCAGAUUAGCUAGUUGGUGGGGUAAAGGCCUACCAAGGCGACGAUCUGUAGCGGGUCUGAGAGGAUGAUCCGCCACACUGGGACUGAGACACGGCCCAGACUCCUACGGGAGGCAGCAGUGGGGAAUAUUGGACAAUGGGCGAAAGCCUGAUCCAGCCAUGCCGCGUGUGUGAAGAAGGCCUUUUGGUUGUAAAGCACUUUUAAGCGAGGAGGAGGCUACCGAGAUUAAUACUCUUGGAUAGUGGACGUUACUCGCAGAAUAAGCACCGGCUAACUCUGUGCCAGCAGCCGCGGUAAUACAGAGGGUGCGAGCGUUAAUCGGAUUUACUGGGCGUAAAGCGGGCGUGGCCGGCUUUUUAAGUCGGAUGUGAAAUCCCUGAGCUUAACUUAA
Molecule: ribosomal RNA, 570 nt
Filed under: bacterium het-w-35
Lineage: Bacteria
Description: bacterial SSU rRNA
Rfam family: Bacterial small subunit ribosomal RNA
Source: RNAcentral